GCGAUUAAUCUUCGUAUCUUCGCGCGAUUGCCGCGCGCAACCGUUCGCGCGCGAUAUCGGCAACAAUGUUAAUUAGUCCACGAGAUAAUUUAUACUGUCGGCGUCCCGUCGCCGCCCAGAAGCGGAGCGGAUUACGCUAUAGGAAAGGACAGAGGAGCGCCCCGGACGCGAACGUAAAUCACGGGCGGAGAUGCAACGUACAGGGAGGAGGACCUUUGGGCUCUCCUCGUCUCGCUCGAGAGCAUCGCCGGUUAAAUAUUGAAUGAAGAUCCCGUCCGCGCGCACGUGUACACGCAUGCACGUGUGUACGUGUGUACAUGUGUACGUACACCGGACACGAUCAGCAUACUGGACAGUCUCGGCCUCCUAGACGGUGUUACCGGUCAACGAAGCAUACCACGGCGAUAGCACCCACUUUAUUACGGCGAACGUAAGUAUGGGCGACGUAUUUAUCGGGCAGUGUUCGCACCGCUUACCUACUCCAGCUAGAACCAUCGCGAAGGCAAAAUUACGAGCCUAAUCUGGACCUGCGAGCGAACGCGAGGAACACACACGACACGGCGUGAAGAUUUCCAUCCGAGUAAUAUGUUGACUACGACAGAGCGACAGAGCUUUGAUAGCCGCUCGAUAAGAUGCAAUUAUUUAUCGGCGGAGAAUGUGCGUUUCGAGUAUCUACGUGUUUGAAAUCACGAUAUAUCGAAAAUGCAAAGAACAUUGCUUUGAUAUCAAAUACGCGAGUAGAUGCGUAUUUCUGCAUUAAUGCGGCGCGAUGAAUAAAUGUUGAUGUGCAUCGUGGAAGAAGUCAGGAUGAUCUGAUAAAUGCGCACUGUACCUAUCGAGGUUGUUGCCACUUUUCCAUAAGCGGUGGAGCAUCAAACUUCCGACACCGUCUGGCUCUUCAGCCGACAAUCGAUAAAAGCUCCAUUAUAAACGUCCGCAAGUAUGGCGCAGAAUUUCAUUCACGAAACAAACGCCGGACAUGUUAUUACGGAAGAAAUGUAGCUGGCGUGAGCUGCAGCGACCGGAGUUAAAGUUCGUUCUAUCUCUGAUUGAUCUAAAUCGAGUGACAGUUUAACGAUGCGUGAAACUAACUUUACUCAGCAAACGUUCUACAUCGACCAGUCUCCUCAACUUUAUCACGAAGAUCAUGUAUUUUAAUUUACUUGCUACAUAUGCAUUUAUUUGAUAAUAUUAUUGUCAUGUACAAUUAACUGUGAUACUAUGCGCCAAAUGUAAUUUUACUUUAAAUAUACAUUUUAUACAUUUUAAGAAGGAGCAGGAGGAAUUUUGGAAUUUUUUACGUGUCAGUCAAUAUGAAGUUAGAAGAAAAUAUUCUGUAAAACUCUUUGCUGCUACUCUUUCAGAAGCGCGGCUUUAAAGGAAACGGGAAAUGUUAUUACACGUGCUACGCGAUUCAACUUAGCAAAUGCGUGGCCAAGGACAAGGUAAACCUUUGAGAUUUACAAAGGCAUCAUCGUUAUUUGAGGGAGAAAGAGUACUUUGCUACGUGGUUGAAGUCUCCGUGGCUGCUGCGCGUCUGAGAGCAUGGGUGGAAACUGUGGGGCGCACGCUAGGGUGGCGAUCGAUGUUAGCCCCACCCCGGUACAAUCUAACAGGAAACGGAAGCAGUGCUCCGAUCCAUUUACACUCUAGAUGGAUAGACGAUGAUGCUUGAAUCUACGAACAGAAACUGCGCUUCACAUACACUAGAUCCACUAACAAUAAUAAUAAUAAUAAUAAUAAUAAUAAUAAUAAUAAUAAUGCAAACAUCAAGCCAUUCUUUCGCGUAUCAACGGGAUUCAAAGAAAAUGAUUGAUCUUUACACAAGAAGUGACAAGCAAAAUAGGCUUCAAAGCUAGUGACAGCGAGAGCGAGGAAUUCACGUUCCCUGAACGAAGCACUGCUAUUUGCGCUCAUAAAUGCGAGUGUGGGCGUAGACCGUAAAAAAUAUGUUGACAGUGCCACUAUGUCGACAGGGCUAGUACGCUGCUCGGUUGUCCCAUGUAUUUACCAUGGCUCAUAAAACCAUCGAAUUAGUCCGGGAAGCUAAAUAAAAAUUAGGUGAGUCUAAGAGUCGCGCGUAGAAAUUCUCUCGCGUCUCUCUCUCUCUCUCUCUUUCUGUCUUUCUCUCGUGAUGCUGAUAUUACCACCUCUAAAAUUGCACCUCUGCAUCGCUCUCACUCUCUCUGUCUCUCUUUUUCUCUCUCUCAAUCAACGUAGGUGUACAUCGCAAUUAUCAGCUGAUCGGUAAUCCUGUUGAAGUGCGUAUUAAAACUCGCUCGAAAACGGAAGUCUUUGUUCGCGAAUCAAUAUGAAACCAUGUUUCCAAAUUCACAGUGUCUGUCGGUUCUUUCACAGCGGGAUUACCCGACGGGACUUAAAUAGCUAACUGUGGACGCGAUUAUUGAUUGCAAACUGCAUCGACCCUCCUUUCACCCUCACCAACAGUGCCGAGCAAUGGACGGUGCCGUUGGCCUACUUUGAACAAAUGCGCACAAACGCGUCAUAGCGGUUUGUAGUUGCGACUGCAAUCCGCCUCACAAUUUACUUGGCCGACGGAAAAAUCCGCUUCGCUUGUGUUGACACAGCGCGCGCGGAAUCGCCGUUGCAGUCAUGUGUAAUAGCUAAUAUCUAUUUUCAUUGAUUUUCACCGCGCGCGCGUAACGCGAGGCCCUAUCGCGAAAUUGUGAUCUGAAAUUUUCACACGCGUAUGGUUAUCCCGUGUCGGCCGACACGGAGCGGACAUAGGCCAAGGCAAGCGAGCCGAUUCCAAUUUGUGGUAGAUCGCGGGCAUACGAUAAGUUUUCCAUUAUCCCGCGGUACUGAGAAUUCGCGCACGGUGAACUGCCGUCGCCCGGGACUGACGUGCUCGACUGCAUCGCGUUUCUCAAGUUUCACGUAAAAGGCCGUCUUCAUCCCGCUUGUCCGAGUGCGCGGCUCGAGUUACCCGGGCUUCGAUCGUCGGACAUCGCCAUUUGAAUACCGAAGCGUCAUUAAACGAGAUAACGAGAGAGAGAGACCUGCCCAUCUCGUCCGUGCGCUCUCGCGUGUGCGUGCGGAACCAACGCGGAAAGCCUUAUUCGCAUCGCGUCGCGUUCUGCUCGAUUUGCACGCGCGCAUAAAUCUCAUUUGGGACGACGAACGCGCAACAACGGCAUAAUGUGAAAUCCGAUUCGUUUCUAUGAUCAUCGGCGCUCGGGUAAAUCGAGCGCAGACGUUCGAACGUGACGACAUCUCGAAAAACGUACGAAAUCUCGUCACGCCUGUCGACUCUUCAAGAUGUUCCUCAGGACAGCGUGGGAAAGAGGCGAGAAGGGCGCAGGGACAUCGGGGCGCGCCUCCGCUCCUGCGACUCACGAGAGAGAGAGGGGAGGGGUGGAGAAAGAGAAAAUGAGACACAGAGAGAGAGAGAGAGAGAGAGAGAGAGAGAGAGAGAAAGAUCUGCCGAGACGCGAGAUCGAUUUAUUGCUCGUUGCAGCACGGCCGGCACUCUCCGGUGAAAUGUCGUCGCGAGCGGAGAGCUGCGCACGCGAAAGACGAGUAAAAAUACCGUUUGCCCAAACGCGGCGAUUAUUUAGCCGACGUGGUGAACUGAACGUCAGAUCGUGAGAUAAGUCUGGCUAUUAUUUUCGAUGCCCUUUCAUUUCUUAAAAGACUCUCUCGCUGUAAUAAUCAGUACAAUGCGCGACCGUACUGAAUAUUAACUGCGCUAAUUAGUCAAGGUUAAAUUGCUCAGCGAGGGAUGAUCAGCGAGGAAGUAACGGAAUAUCACCGAGGACUCCUAGCUUCGCACGUGUUUGGUAGGAAUGCCAGACGAGCUGAAAUUCGAGAGACAAUGGCUGGUAUGUUCCGUACCACUGAGAAUAAAAACGGCGGAAAUGAAACUCUGAAUAUCUGCGCGAAGCACGCACCGCGCGGAUCCUUAAUUUCUCUUAAAGGCAAUUAUCCAUUUCCGACCGUCUCACUCGCCCGGUAACUAAUAGGUCAUCAUUAUAGCGGCACUUGAUGUCUCUAUUAUUCCGAACCGUACGUUUACAUCUAUGUAUGUGCGAAAAAGAGCGACCUGCUACUGAUGUACCGUCACACUGUAAUCGUUCCGCGGGUCAAUAAGUCGCUUUUUAUGCGAACGGUGAUUUGUAAUCGCAGCUCGCUUGUAUUCGUUGCGUCUCAGAAUCUGGUUAAUCGUGCUUUUAACCGACCGGCUCACAUGUGUUUGCUUUCUACCAAGAUUACUAACAUGAUUGAGGAAUGAGAGAAAUCGUCAAUAGUUUUAAUAAAUUCUAAAUUGAAAAAUUUGAAACGUCUACACAUGAAUAAUGCAAUUACAUUAAAAAAUGUCACACAUUUAAUACGAUUUAAGAAAUAAACUACAAUUUUAUAUAUAUCGUUUUUACAAUUUUAGAUUUAACGAAUAAAUAAAAUAAAAUUCUCGGUAGUGCAAUAUUUAUGUAAAAGCUAUAUCUGCAAUACAAAGCUAUAUGUAGAGUAAA
Ooceraea biroi (clonal raider ant) is the source of this 4490-nucleotide long non-coding RNA. RefSeq lists it as uncharacterized. The record is from RefSeq and is a predicted model, not a curated record. NCBI's taxonomy places the organism in Eukaryota, Metazoa, Arthropoda, Insecta, Hymenoptera, Formicidae.